Molecule: transfer RNA, 72 nt
Organism: Azorhizobium caulinodans ORS 571
Lineage: Bacteria; Pseudomonadati; Pseudomonadota; Alphaproteobacteria; Hyphomicrobiales; Xanthobacteraceae
Rfam family: tRNA
About the family: Transfer RNA (tRNA) molecules are approximately 80 nucleotides in length. Their secondary structure includes four short double-helical elements and three loops (D, anti-codon, and T loops).
Source: Rfam
GGGCGAUUAGCUCAGCGGGAGAGCACUCCCUUCACACGGGAGGGGUCGCAGGUUCAAUCCCUGCAUCGCCCA